UGAGUAACGCGUGAGUAACCUGCCUUUCAGAGGGGGAGUAACGUUCUGAAAAGAAACGCUAAUACCGCAUGAGACUACAGAGCUGCAUGGCUCAGUGGUCAAAGGAGCAAUCCGCUGAAAGAUGGACUCGCGUCCGAUUAGAUAGUAGGCGGGGUAACGGCCCACCUAGUCGACGAUCGGUAGCCGGACUGAGAGGUUGAACGGCCACAUUGGGACUGAGACACGGCCCAGACUCCUACGGGAGGCAGCAUG
This 252-nucleotide ribosomal RNA is filed under the name uncultured bacterium. RNAcentral describes it as "partial 16S ribosomal RNA". It matches the Rfam family "Bacterial small subunit ribosomal RNA", at positions 107 to 353 of the family's 1533-position model. The record is from RNAcentral.